RNAcentral lists this ribosomal RNA (467 nucleotides) under uncultured bacterium. Its description in RNAcentral is "partial 16S ribosomal RNA". It matches the Rfam family "Bacterial small subunit ribosomal RNA", at positions 28 to 507 of the family's 1533-position model. The record is from RNAcentral.
GACGAACGCUGGCGGCGUGCUUAACACAUGCAAGUCGAACGGAAAGGCCUCUUUCGGGGGGUACUCGAGUGGCGAACGGGUGAGUAACACGUGAGUAACCUGCCCUUGACUUUGGGAUAACUUCAGGAAACUGGGGCUAAUACCGGAUAGGAGCUCCUGCUGCAUGGUGGGGGUUGGAAAGUUUCGGCGGUUGGGGAUGGACUCGCGGCGUAUCAGCGUGUUGGUGGGGUAGUGGCUUACCAAGGCUUUGACGGGUAGCCGGCCUGCGAGGGUGACCGGCCACACUGGGACUGAGAGACGGCCCGGACUCCUACGGGAGGCAGCAGUGGCGAAUAUUGCACAAUGGGUGGCCGCCUGAUGCAGCAACGCCGUGGGCGGGAUGACGGCCUUCGGGUUGUAAACCGCUUUCGCUCAUGACGAAGCUUUGUGUGACGGUAGUGGGUAAAGAAGCACCGGCUAACUUCGUG